Molecule: RNA transcript, 3438 nt
Organism: Theobroma cacao (cacao)
Lineage: Eukaryota; Viridiplantae; Streptophyta; Magnoliopsida; Malvales; Malvaceae
Gene name: bZIP transcription factor (DUF630 and DUF632)
Source: RefSeq, a predicted model, not a curated record
UUGCAUGGAAGCAACCGGCCACUGUAUUCUUCUUACAACACCUCCGUCAGAUUCGCAUCCCUUUCUCUCUCUGAUGACUGAUCAGAUGACGCAUCUCUCUCUCCCUGUCCUAAAAGCUUCACAGUUUAGAGAGAGAAACUAUACUUUUGUCUCUGUUGUUCCACUUGUUUCUAUGAUCCUCUCUUCUUCUAUAUAAACACGACUCUGCUCUGAAAUCCAAGCUUUUCUUUUCCGUUCUAUCUCUCUGAUUGAUAUUUAUCAAGUUUCCCAUCAGUCCUUCAUAGUCUAUUUUUGGCUUUUGUUCCUAUUAAAUUUUGCUGCUUUGUUCUUCAAGGGUGAAUCUAAUCUUCUCACUGUGUUUUGGGUUUCCAAUUUGAUUCUCUUUUGCUGCAAUUUUGAUUCACCCAAACUGGGUUUUCUUCUCUUCAAGGAGAAUCCUUAUGUCCUGAUUGCUUGUUGAGGAGUAUCUGUCAUUUAGAGGGUAGAAUUAUGGGGGCUGCAGGCUCUAAAAUAGAAGAGGAUAAGGCCCUGCAGUUAUGUCGUGAAAGGAAGAAGUAUGUUCGUCAGGCACUUGAUGGGAGAUGCUCACUGGCUGCUGCUCAUGUUGCAUAUAUUGAGACACUAAAAAGUUCAGGAACUGCUCUUAGGAAGUUUGUUGAGUUUGAAGCUCCAGUUGAGUCUUCCCUUUACACUUCAACUAAUGCUACGCCAGAGCCCCUUGCUUUAACUGAGAAGUCUCUUUCCCAGUUCUCAUACUCUUCUCCAUCUUUCUCACAGCGUGUAGAUGCUGCUGAAACCUUUUCUCCAACACCUUCUCCUCCCACUUCUAGUCAUUUUCAGGCAAACCAUAUGAAAUUUGGGUUUAUGUCUUCAAAAAUAGUUGAAGAGAAACCCCCUCAACCUGAUAUCAGAUCGGUAAACUCAUCAAGUACUCCACAAAAUAUCACACCGCGUUUCUCUGAAAAACCAGAAUCAUCACCGUUUGAAGCUUCUUCUUUGCCACCAGGAAGUCCACAGUGGGAUUUCUUUGGUCUUUGGCAUCCAAUUGACAAUCAAUUGUCAUUCAAAGAUGGGAAGGAAUUGAACCAAGGGUUGGAAACUGUUGAUGAUUUAAGACGGCUUAGGGAGGAGGAGGGUCUUCCUGAGCUGGAAGAUGAAGAGGGGGCUUCUUUUUGUGAAAAAGAAGAAACUCAGGGUUCAGAAGAUGAAUUUGAUGAUGAGCCUCCUGCAGAUACUCUAGUUCGAAGUUUUGAAAAUCUGAAUAGGGUAAAUGACCAUAAAAUAGCCAAUGCAUCAUCGGCUAUCCCUUCUAUGGGUGGUGUAGCUUUAGAAACUGACUUCCUCAAUGGGGAAAAGAGCAACUCUCCUGAUUUGUCACCUUUAGGAGCUACACCCUCCACUGUUUCUGUUCCAACUGAAAUAAAGAAAACACCUGUCAAUGAAGAUGGUUCUGAAAACAAGGUUGCCCCUAAAGACUUCCUUUCUGUCAUGAAAGAUAUUGAGUUCCUCUUUAUAAAAGCUUCUGACUCUGGGAAGGAAGUUCCAAGGAUGCUUGAAGCAAAUAAGUUGCAUUUCCGUCCUAUUUUUCCAGGAAAAGAAGGUGGAUUGACGGCAUCCACAUUUUUUAAGGCCUGUUUCUCUUGUGGAGAAGAUCCAAGCCAAGUUAAAGAAGAGCCUCCUCAAACUGCUCAAAAGUACUUGACUUGGCAUAGGACAACAUCAUCUCGAUCAUCUUCAUCUGGGAAUCCUCUGGGAUUAAAUUCAAAGGAUGACGCUGAGGACCUUAACAACAAUUUUCUCUAUAAUACCUGCAUGCUUUCAGGCAGUCAUGCAUCGACCUUGGAUAGACUAUAUGCAUGGGAGAGGAAGCUUUAUGAUGAAGUAAAGGCCAGUGAGACAGUCCGAAAUGAGUAUGACUUGAAGUGUAAAAUCUUAAGACAGCUGGAGUCAAAGGGAGAGAGUUCAAACAAAAUUGACAAGACUCGAGCUGUUGUCAAGGAUUUGCACUCAAGAAUUAGAGUUGCAAUCCACAGGAUUCACUCGAUAUCAAAAAGGAUUGAGGAUUUACGGGACAAUGAGCUGCAGCCUCAACUUGAGGAGUUGAUUGAAGGGUUGAGUCGAAUGUGGGAAGUAAUGUUUGAAUGUCACAGGCGUCAGUUUCAAAUUAUCUCUGUAGCAGACAAGACUGGCAACAUGAAAAUCUCUGUACUGUCUGAAUCACAUCGGCAGAUCACCACUCAUCUUGAAGUUGAACUAAGCAUGCUGUCUUCAAGUUUUACAAAGUGGAUUGGUGCCCAGAAAGCUUAUCUGAAAGCCAUAAACAGUUGGCUUGGGAAAUGUGCUUCUAUUCAACAAAAAACUUCGAAGAAAUCUAAGAGGAAAAUCCUCGAAAUCCAAUUUUUGAGAAAAUUUGGCCCUCCAAUGUAUGUAACAUGUGGUGCUUGGCUUGAAAAGCUUGAUACGUUGGAGCCUUCUAUAAAGGAUGUCUCAGAGUCCAUUAAACGUUUGGCAGCUGAUACAUCUGGCUUUUUACCACACCAUGAAAGCAAUGAGGGGAAGGAUGCUAAUCAUCCGUAUUCAGCAUCUGGGAAGGAUGACAACAGUGAUUCUGCAAUUAAUAUGUCAAGAGAUGAUGCUUUGAAAGAGAGGAUGUCAGUAUCCAGGAAGAAUGACGACAUCAAUGAAUCUGAAUAUAACAUGUUAAGAAAUAAUGCUUUGAAGGAUUCUUUUGGGAGAAGCUUAGUUUGCUUUCUUGGUCAAUUGAAGACUUACGCGGAAGCAUCUGUGAAGAUGUAUUUGGAACUUGACAAGGAAAUUCAAGAAGCUAAGCGUAAUUAUGAUUUGUCCGUCCAAGGAGCAGAGAACGGCAGUGAAGGAAAUAAUGAUCAGAGCAACGAUCAAAGCAGCAAUCAGAGCAACAACCAUUCCAAGGAUCAAUCGAUGUCACAAGCGUAAACUUACUAUUUCGAAAAGAGUUGGGCUGCAGAAGACAGACACAAGUUUUCGAAGCAUUCAUGGCAACCGUGUUUAAGAAAAAUGAAGCGUUUCGCAUUGCAUGCAGCGUUUUUAUAUUGAAUAUAGGAAUAAAAGGGUAUUUGGUAGAAACCCUUCCAGUUACAUUCGGUAACUCAAUAAAGAAGCUCUGCUUUUGUAAAACGGAUGUCAUAAGGGGUGAUUUGCAGGCAAAAGCUGUAACAUAGAGGUAUCCACACUACACUUCCAAUCAGGAAUUCAUGUUAAGGCAGUGAGCAGUAGCUUCUGCCCCUCAAACUGGAAAACUCUGAAAAAUCUUCAGGAUAGAAAGUCCAAAUCCCUCAAAAUCAGAAGGAAAGCCCCAAUGUCUCAGUUGAAACUUUACUUCCCUCAUCAGGCCAUUAUCAGGUUAGGUGUUGGAAGCUGACUUCACACCAUUUCUAUAUGAAAAUCUCCUUUCUGUUU